GUAGGUGGUAAGCGUUGUCCGGAAUUAUUGGGCGUAAAGCGCGCGCAGGCGGUUCUUUAAGUCUGAUGUGAAAGCCCACGGCUCAACCGUGGAGGGUCAUUGGAAACUGGAGAACUUGAGUACAGAAGAGGAAAGCGGAAUUCCACGUGUAGCGGUGAAAUGCGUAGAGAUGUGGAGGAACACCAGUGGCGAAGGCGGCUUUCUGGUCUGUAACUGACGCUGAGGCGCGAAAGCGUGGGGAGCAAACAGGGAUUAGAUACCCUGGUAGUCCACGCCGUAAACGAUGAGUGCUAAGUGUUAGGGGGGUUUCCGCCCCCUUAGUGCUGCAGCUAACGCAUUAAGCACUCCGCCUGGGGAGUACGGCCGCAAGGCUG
Molecule: ribosomal RNA, 374 nt
Filed under: uncultured organism
Description: partial 16S ribosomal RNA
Rfam family: Bacterial small subunit ribosomal RNA
Source: RNAcentral